GAUGAACGCUGGCGGCGUGCCUAACACAUGCAAGUCGAGCGAUUCUCUUCGGAGAAGAGCGGCGGACGGGUGAGUAACGCGUGGGUAACCUGCCCUGUACACACGGAUAACAUACCGAAAGGUAUGCUAAUACGAGAUAAUAUACUUUUAUCGCAUGGUAGAAGUAUCAAAGCUCCGGCGGUACAGGAUGGACCCGCGUCUGAUUAGCUAGUUGGUAAGGUAACGGCUUACCAAGGCGACGAUCAGUAGCCGACCUGAGAGGGUGAUCGGCCACAUUGGAACUGAGACACGGUCCAAACUCCUACGGGAGGCAGCAGUGGGGAAUAUUGCACAAUGGGCGAAAGCCUGAUGCAGCAACGCCGCGUGAGCGAUGAAGGCCUUCGGUCGUAAGCUCUGUCCUCAAGGAAGAUAAUGACGGUACUUGAGGAGGAAGCCCGGCGUAACUACGUGCCAGCAGCCGCGGUAACAUACUCGUA
This 476-nucleotide ribosomal RNA is filed under the name uncultured bacterium. RNAcentral describes it as "bacterial SSU rRNA". It matches the Rfam family "Bacterial small subunit ribosomal RNA", at positions 28 to 529 of the family's 1533-position model. The record is from RNAcentral.